AAGUGGAAUGUAAAUUCUAGUCAGACUGGUGCCGACCAGGAGUGAGCAGCCUUUAGUCGGUUGGGUAUCCAUGUUGAUGCCCGACAUCAACCAUGCUGGGCGGGACUCAUGAAUCUUAGCCGGAUUGAAUGGCGGUGGCUUAGUUGGCUCAGAGAUGAGAAGUCUUGACAGUCGGCUAAGUGAUUGGGAUCUAUCCCAACACUUGCCUUCCAAUUCUCGAGUCCAACUUUGUGGUUAGUCGGGCGAAUGGAGUUUGUCUUCGGGC
RNAcentral lists this long non-coding RNA (265 nucleotides) under Elaeis guineensis (African oil palm). RNAcentral describes it as "long non-coding RNA (EGUI_LNC020699)". The record is from RNAcentral. Lineage: Eukaryota; Viridiplantae; Streptophyta; Magnoliopsida; Arecales; Arecaceae.